UGCUAUAAUUCUUGGGCCAGCUGUCUCCCGUCACGCCGGCACCGCUACGGCUGGUUAUGCUCAACCCUCUUGGUGUGCUGAUGCCGCAAAGAAUUAUGCGACUCGAUUCUCAGCCAAGUGCUCCGCGUCACCGCAUUCACCACUGCCAGUUCUGGACACUACUGUGUAUGCAGUCCGGCAACAUGGAAUGGCGUCAGCUGACCCAGCCGCUAAACAACGCGCCCAUUUCACCGACGCAACGGGCCACGGCACCGCAGUUACGAUGCCACGCUCACCCCUGAUGUUCUUCCAGGUCAUGCAGAUGAUAGCAGCAGUUUCACAAUGCCCAGCCUUGGUGCCCUCCAUCAAGAACAAGCCACUUGCAUUCUCCUUCAGACAGAUGUUUGACGUCUUCUUGGACGCAGUUAUGAAGACAACGUUACCAGUAACGGAGCACCAACAACAAUCUUGGAACUUUAUUGUCAUGCCUUUAUAUACAAAUACACGCCGUGAAGGUCCCAGGUGAGGAGACCAAACAGGUGGACUUACAAGACAAUUAAAAACGGGCCAUUCCACGCCAAGUUUCCCAGACGUGUGCUUCCUCCAUCCAUUUUCCUGGGACGUGACGUGCUUUCAAAGAUUGCUCAACGCCAUGGUCGGCAUAGUUCCGUACCACCGCUUCACCGUACCGCGACAUGCUUGACACAGAGGACAACGUCCAAGCGUCUAACAUCCCAACGUGUCUACAGUGUGCAUCUGUGGAGACCUCUAAAUUUGAUAUUACACCAUUUUUGAAAUUCAAUAUUUCUGUAAAUGAAUAUUUAAGGCGAAAAUCAUGAUGCAGUUUCUGUAUUAAAGGCUUCGUGUUUUCGAGUCUCGAUGAGACAUAUUAAA
Dermacentor andersoni is the source of this 873-nucleotide non-coding RNA. The record is from RefSeq and is a predicted model, not a curated record. NCBI's taxonomy places the organism in Eukaryota, Metazoa, Arthropoda, Arachnida, Ixodida, Ixodidae.